UCGUGAUAUUAAUGUUUUGAUUAAUAUGAAACAAAAGCAAGUUGACUAUUUGCAACUAGAAUUGUUUAGCAUAAAUAUAUUUGAAACUUUGAAAUCCACCAAAGUACAAGAAAAAAUGAAAUUAAUUUCUGAACAAAUUACAGUUGAUAUUUGUGCCGAUCAUCCUAGUGCCUUUUGAAUUCGAAAAAGGCAUAUUGUUACUCUUCCUUAUGAAGAUGAUUUUUCUGAGAAUGAUAUUCCUCCUAAGUCCCGUCCUUGUCAGAUGAACACCGAAUUGGUAGAAUUCUGCAAAAAAGGAAUUUGAAAAUUUGUUGCAAAAAGUUUUGAUAAAACCUUCAAAGUCACCUUGGUCUUGUACUGCAUUUUAUGUUAAUAAUGCUACCGAAAGGGAACGUGGCGUCCCUAGAUUUGUUAUCAAUUAUAAACCUUUAAAUAAAUAUUUAAAAUGGAUUAGGUAUCCUAUUCCCUACAAAAGAUAUUUAUUGUCUAGAUUAUAUGAUGGCAAUAUAUUUUCAAAAUUUGAUUCAAAAUUAGGAUAUUGGCAGAUCCAAAUAUUUAAAGAGCAUGCUUAUAGGACAGCUUUUAAUGUCCCAUUUGGACAAUACGAAUGGAAUGUUAUGCCAUUCGGUUUGAAAAAUGCUCCAUCUGAAUUUUAGAAAAUCAUGAACGAUAUUUUCAAUCCAUAUAUGGAUUUCAUCAUUGUUUAUAUUGAUGAUAUUUUAGUAUUCUCAAAAAUAUUUGAAAUGCAUAUUAAGCAUCUUGAUAUCUUUAAGAAAAUUGUUAUACAAAAUGGUUUGGUCAUUUCUAAAUAAAAAAUGAGUUUGUUCCAAACUGAUGUUCGAUUUCUAGGACAUCAUAUUUGUCAAGGAAAAGUUAUCCCGAUUCAUAGAUCAAUCGACUUUGCAUCAAAAUUUCCUGAUGUUAUCACUGAUAGGACUCAAUUGCAAAGGAUUUUAAGGAGUUUAAAUUACAUAUCCCCUUUUUAUAAAAAAAUUAUCUCAUGAUUUGGCCCCUUUAUACGACAGGCUAAAAAAGGAUCAUAAAUCACCUUGGACUGAUAGUCAUACUGCUUUGGUAAAGGAUAUUAAACUUCGUGUUCAAUCUUUACCAUGGUUAACUCUUGCUAACCCUACUUGGCAAAAAAUUAUUGAGACAGAUGCGUCUAAUAUUGGUUAUGGUGGGAUAUUAAAACAAAUUAGUCCCAAUGACAAAAAUGAAUAUUUGAUCAGAUUUCAUUCUGGGAAAUGGAGCGAGGCCCAGAAGAAAUAUGAUACGGUGGCUCAUGAAAUGUUAACCAUCGUUAAAUAUGUGUUAAAAUUCAGGAUGAUUUAUAUAAUCAAAAGUUUUUGAUAAAAACUGAAGCUCAAUCUGUUAAGUAUAUGUUUAACAAUGAUUUUAAACAUGAUGCAUCAAAAUUAAUUUUUUCUAGGUGGCAGGCCCAAUUAACUCCUUUUGAUUUUGAGAUCCAAUAUAAAAAGGAAAGUGAUAACUCUCUUCCGGAUUUUCUAUCCAGAGAAUAUUUAAAUUCAUUAUGAGUUUUUAUACAACUUUCAUUGAUGAGAAAACUUUAGUUACUAUUUUAAAAAUAAUUCCUCUUAAUAAAGAUUUGCAGGAACUAAUUUUAUGUGAAAUUAUCAACGAUAUUAUUUGUGAAGAUUUCUCUGUACAUAAUUAUGAAGAAAUUGUCGAUAUCGAUGAAGAGAAUUAUUACAGUGACUAUUAUGAUACAUCCGAAUAAAGUAAAGUGUUAUGUUUGUAGGAUGGACUCUCCUUGGGUAACCAUGGGCAGAGGAAGGGGAAGAUCUUCCCCAGGAUCAUCCUAUGGAUCCUCUUCUAACACCUCAAUUAUGCAAAUGGGAAGAAAGAGUUUGAUAAACUCAAGAAUCUCCCAAAGUGAGGCGUCAUCUUCAGUACAUCUGGAAGAUAUUCCAGAAGACAGCUCAUUAUAUGCACAGCUACAGGCUUAUCUGUCACAAAAGAAAAAUGAUACUUUUGCAUCAAUAGCCAAAGAAGACAAUGAUGAUAUCAAGUCUUAUGAAAAGGUAUCAAAAAAAGAAAUGAUAAUUCUUUUAGAAAGCUGUGAAAUACAGAGAAAAGAAGAACCCUGGAAGAUAUUCAAGCGAUACCUAAUAAACGGUUUAUAUUUCCUGGGUGAAUCAUACAAAACCCGAUCAUAUUACGAAACCAUUCUGAUAAGCACGGGUAGUGUUGAAUUUCAACACUUUUCAGGCUACAAUACAAGUGAGAAUGUUUAUAACUUCUCGAAAAUGAUAAUUAAACAGAUUAUAUCUGUUGAGGAUUGAGGUAUCUCCACCAUGAAAGAAAGGCAGAUCAGCCUAAACAAAAUCGAUAUGAGUUUCACAUACUGGUACUAUACUCAUGUCUUUGAUAAAGUCCUCUAUUAUAAUAACGAAAGACAUAAACAUACGUGGUUUAUGAAAAUAUGUGAAAAGAUAUUUGCAGGACCAAUUCCUAAUUGGUUUCCAAAUUGGUGGUCAUACCACGACCCGACUAUAAAAAUUCUGUUGGAUCCCUUUCUUAAAUUAUAUAAAGAAUGGGUUAAAGUCUCACCAGAUCUUAAUGAGUUAUACAAUACACAUCAUAUUUGUUAUCUUGAAAAAAUAGGCCAGAUUUAUUUUUUCAUUGAAUUUUCUAUCCCUUGGAUUCACAAAUGGACCCCAGAAGUGGGAUUCACCGAGGAACAAAUCUCUUAUUUAUAUAGGACUUUUUACAAUCAUUUUUUGGAUAAAUUGAUGAAAAAGGAUCCCAAAACAAAAACGUUAUACGGGCAAGAACUGCUAGAUCUUAUUGCAACAAGGAUCCACGAAUAUAGUAUUACUCCCUAAAAGGGAAUCAUCGCUGAUAGCUCGGUCAGGCAUAUUGCCAGGAAAAUCUCCAUUCAAGAUGGAGAUAAAGAAGAGAUGAUCAACAACUAUUUAGAAGAGGUUAAGAGGAGUCUUCUUCUAAAUCUCACUCAAAUUGAAAAAUCUGACACUUCUAUGAGAAGUGAGACGAGCGAUGACACUACCGAUGAUAACCAAGAAGCUCAACCUAUUGAAAAACUAUGUCAGAAGAUACUCUGAGAAAGGCGGAAGAUUUCCUCAAAAAAUUAAAGGAAAAGGACAUCUUUUUCUAGCAAUAGGUAACCAUUAGGAUAGAUAUAUGACCCGUUAAAAAUAUUUGUUUCAAUUAAGCAUGUGGUUACACAUCUUUUUCUUGAGAUAUUAAAAUAAAUUCAAGGAUGCCGUGACGCACCUUGUCCAAAACUAUAAUUGUUUUUCAUUAAUUUAAAAUAACACUUUUAGAUAAAGUUAAUAAGUUUGAUGCAAAGAAGACAGUUAUGUCUCUAAACGUCAAGACCAAGAAUGCGGUUACGCAUAUAGGUUGAGACCAAAUAAAAGUUCAACAAAUUAAAAAAAAAUGCGAGCAAAUCAUGGCUACAACAUAAUUAUCCAAUAAUAAUAAUAAUAGUAAUAAUAAUAAUAAUAAUAAUAAUUUCAAGUAUAAGUCAAUAAAAGCGACUGUGCUAGAACCACGAAACUCGAGGGAGGCCUAAUACCUUUCCCUCGGUCAACUUAAUUCUUUACCUGAAUUUCUGGUUCGCAAACCAAAAAAAGAGUCAUUUCCUUUUGAUUAGGGAUUAAACAAAAUGGUGACUUGCAACACCAUAACUCAAUUCCAAGUGGAGAUUCUGAAAAAAUAAAAACAAUCCCUAAACCAAUACCGUCACUUAAAUUGGAAAAACCCUAUUCGCCUCCCACUUGCGCAAAAAGGGGUGUGACAAUUAGAAUAACUAAUAAUUAAGAAGUUUUAAAAUACAUGGUAACAGGAAAAUAUAUUUUAAAAAUUAAGAAAUUCUAAAAUAUAUGGUAAGAGAAAAAUAUUUGGUUAAAAUUCUAAAAAUAAUUAAAAUUUGUCAUUAGUUUUGGGGGAAAAAGAGUUGAGCCAGGGGAAGGAUUCAAUGGAACUGUGGCCGCCUCUACCAUCAAGGGAGGCUACACCACACAUUAAGGAAGUAGACAAGCCAGAAGGCAAUUUGGGGAGUGAAAUUCCUGCUCAAAUUAGUGGGAACCUACCAGGUGAGAUGCAAGGAAGUGAGACAGAAGGUGAUACACACAGAAAAUUAGACGUAAAUGUUGAGCCAGCUAAGAAGUGGAUGAUUUUUUUCAAUUCAAAUAGGAUGUCAGCUAAAGGAAUGAGCCUGAGCCUAUGUUAGCCCAGUAAUGAGAAAUGCAGAACAGGUCAUUGAAUUGAAGAAAGAAGAAGUGGAAAAAGAAACAGCAGAAUGGAAGCAAGCUCUUAUCCUCUAUGUGAAUUGCUGCAAUUGAGAGGUAUAUUGCACUACAGGUGAAUACUGUUAGUAAACCUAAAGUAUAUUGCCAUAAUGAUGGUUACUUCUUAGUUAGGUUUCCUAGCUUGGAUGAUAGGAAUGAAGUGUUGUAUUCUGGCCCUCAUAUGCUUAAUAACAAACCUAUUAUAGUUAAAGUUUGGAGUGCUGAUUUUAACUUUAAUAAGGAGGUUUUGCAAACAGUGCCAAUUUGGGUGAAAUACCCAAACCUGCCGUUGAAUUGAUGGAGUAUGGAUUCGCUAAGUAGAAUUAGUAGUGGACUAGGAGUUCCAUUGUAUGCUGAUGAAUGCACUACUAAGGUUGACAAGAUUUCUUUUGCAAGAGUGCUAGUCGAAAUGGAUGUAGCAAGGGAAUUGCCAAAGAAACUCAAAGUGGAAGAUCCAAAUGGGAGAGCUUUGAACAAGAAGUGAAGUAUGAAUGGAUUCCAGAAUAUUGUCCUAAAUGUAUGCAGGUAGGGCACAAAAGUACUACAAAAUAGGGUCCUCGAUAUAAAACAGCUCCUAAGAUUGUCAAUAAAUAGGUUCAGAAGCAACAUAUUACCAAUGUGACAAGAGUUCCACAAGUAAUAAAUGGAGAAAAAGAUAAGGGGAAGAAACAAGUAAGUGAAUAGGUAGAAACAUGGCAACAAGUAUCUCCAAUAAUAAUAGCUAGAGGAAGUGUAGGUACACAGAUAAAUGCACUAGAGGUGAGGAUGACUAAUGGCUUUGAUACAUUAGUAAGAAUGGAACAGGGUUCAACAAGUGUAACAGAGGGUAAUGAAAGUGGAGGAGAAGGGUAUAGAGGAAAUUUACUAGAAAUGGUUACAUGAAGCUGGUCACAUGGAACACAAGGGGAAUAAAUAAACUUCAUAAACAAACGGAACUCAAAUUGCUUAUGAAGGAGAAUAAUGUUGGAAUUAUGGCAAUUUUAGAACAUAAUUUAAAGGAACACUUAGCAGGAAAGAUCACAAAAAAUACCACAAGGAUGGAAAUAGGAAGUAAAUUAUGAACAUACUGAUAAGGGUAGAAUCUGGCUAAUGUGGAAUCCUCAAGUGAAUGAUUGUUUGAAUUUGAGUAAAUUAGACCAAUAUAUACACAGAAGGGUGGUAGUGAAAAGGAAUAACAUGGUGUUUUGUCUAGUGGUUAUCUAUGGAUUACAUACUAUUCAUGAUAGACUACAAUUAUGGGAAGAUUUGAAGCAAAAGGUAGUCAAUACACAAGAACCCUUGAUCUGUAUGGGUAAUUUCAAUGCAGUGUUAACGGGUGCUGAUAGAAUUAAUGGCAAUCCAGUUCAGGAGAUGGAAAUAAAAGACUUUAAUGAGUUUAUAAUAGAUGCUAGUAUGACAGAAUUGAAGGCAACAGAAAGAGAGUCUACCUGGUCAAAUGGAUGCAUAUGCAGUAAGAUUGAUAGAGCAAUGGUGAAUAUAAAAUAGAUGUUGAAUAUGAACCAAGUAGAGAUUAGUUUUAGGCAACCAGAAACAUCUGAUCAUUCUCCAUUGAGUCUGGAGUUGGACAGUAAUAUGAGAGGUAAUCACUAGGCUUUCAAGUUUUUCAAUUGUAUUGCUGCUCAUCCAGAUUUCUUACCAAAGGUGAAGAAAGCAUGGAGAGGUGGACAUAUAAGGGAUCUGAAAGAAGUAUGGUUUAAGCUCAAGGAAGUGAAAGAAAACCUUAAGCAACAUAAUAGCAAAUAAUUCAUAGGGGUGAGGAAUAUUGUAAGGGACAUUAGGGGAAAAUUGCAAAAUAUACGGGAGAUAAUAAGGGAUCCAUCUACAGUAGCUCAGAAUAGACAACAACAAAAGGAAAUGCAAAUCCAAUUAGAGAAAUGUAGCUUGAUUGAAGAGUGCAAUGCAUCAGUAGUCCAGAAUUUAGUGGUUGAGAUUGGGUUAUGCAAACACUGCUUACUUCUAUGCACACAUGAAGAAUAGGGUGGCUCAAAACACAAUCACAAAACUCAAGAUUUCAGAUGGUAAUAUAGCCCAGACACAGGAAGAAAUUGAGCUGGAAGUGAGUACAUUUUAUAAAAAUUUGCUUGGUAAGGCUGCUCAGAAGUUACCUAGUGUGAAUGCUAUGACUAUGAGGAAUGGUAAGGUCCUUAAUAGAGAACAACAUUUAUUACUAGCAGCUAGGGUGACAAGAGAGGAGGUGGAAAUAGCACUCAAAAGUAUACAUGAUAUGAAGGCCCCGAGAAUUGAUGGUUUCAAUUCUUUCUUCUUUAAGAAGGCUUGGAUAGUGGUUGGAGAGAACAUCUUGAAUGCAGUUUUGAUGUUCUUUGACACAAGUUACAUGUACCAGCCUAUUAAUUGUAUAGUAGUGACUGUUAUUCCCAAGAUUGCCAAUCCUACUAAAAUUGGGGAGUAUAGACCUAUUUCAUGUUGCACAACAUUGUACAAGAUCAUUUCAAAAGUGAUUACUAUAAGGUUUCAGAAGGUGAUGAGUUCUUUACUUGAUCCUAAUCAAUCAGUUUUUGUUCGAGGGAGCUUUAUAAAUGACAAUAUGAGCUAUUGAAAGGGUAUAAUAGGAAAGGUAUUUCCAAUAGAUUCAUGAUAAAAGUGGAUAUAAAGAAAGCAUAUGACUCAAUUGAAUCGAGUUUUCUAGAGGAAAUAUUAUAUGAACUGAAGUUUCAAGCUAAAGUGAUCAAGUGGAUAAUGCAGUGUGUCACCACAAUAACCUAUUCAUUUCAAGUUAAUGGAAGAACAACAAAACCAUUUAAAGCUCAGAGAUAGACAAGGUGACCCCAUGUCCCCUUUUCUAUUUGUAUUGUCUAUGGAUUAUCUCACCAAGAACCUAACAAGCUUACAUACAAACCCUGAGUUCCAUUAUCAUCUAAGGUGUAAGAAACAGAGAAUUAUCCAACUGAGUUUUGCAGAUGAUUUAUUGAUGUUCUGUAGGGGUGAUGUCAAGUUUCUUAGAAGCUUAUAUAAGUGCUUUAUGUUUAUUCCAGUGCAUCAGGGCAGGUGGCAAAUGUGGACAAAAUCUGUGUUUAUUUUGGAGGGAUAAAACAGAAUGUACAGGAUCAAAUACUACAAGAUCUCCAAUUUGUGAAAGGUGAGCUCCCAUUCAGGUAUUUGGGAGUCCCCUUGAGUACAAAAAGAGUGUCUAUUGUCCAAUGUAAACCCCUUAUUGAAAAAAUGUUGAAUAGAGUCACUUGUUGGACCAAUAAAGUCCUAUCAUAUGCUGGCAGAGCUCAAUUGGUGAAGAGUGUAUUGUUUUCUAUACAAACCUUUUGGGCACAAAUCUUUGCCCUUCCUAAGAAGAUCAUACAUGCUAUUGUGAGUAUAUGUAGAAAGUUUCUAUGGACGGGAAGUGUGGAGGCAUCAAAGAAAGCAUUAAUAGACUGGGAGAAGUUAUGUUGGCCCAAAGCAAGUGGAGGUCUGAAUUUCCUGGAUGUGUUCAUCUGGAAAAAUGCUGCUAUUGAAAAGUUACUAUGGAAUCUUUGUAAGAAAAAGGAUAAAUUAUGGGUGGAAUGAUACAUAGUUAUUAUGAGAAAAAAGUAAUUUGGAGCAUCCAAGCAAAUCAAGCAUCUUGGCUUGUACAAAGAAUACUUAAAGCUCAUAAACAUCUUCAAGCUGCUGGUUACAACGAGUAUAGUUUAAAGCAAAUUAAUGGAACAAUACUUUAUUAAAAAGGUUUAUGAAAAGAUGAGAGGAGAUGGGGAGAAAGUGGAGUGGAGAAAGCUGAUGUGGUCCAACUAUGGUGUACCAAAAUGGCUAUUCAUAUUGUAUUUAGCUCUAAACAGAAGGCUGUCAACAAAAGAUAGAAUGGAAAAAUGGGGAGUAACAUCUUAUUUGACAUGUCCCUUGUGUCAAGUAGAGGAUGAAGAUAUUGAUUACCUCUUUUUUGCAUGCAAGUUCACUGCUGGAAUAUGGAAGAAGCUGCUAGCUUGGCAAAUAAUACAUCGUACAGAAGGGUGGUGGCAUGAAGAAAUACAAUGGGCAACAACAUAUAUGAAGAGCAACAUCAACAAAGCUAAGGUGUAUAGGAUGGUUUUGGUAGGAACCAUCUAUCACGUGUGGAUAGAGCGUAACAACAGAAUCUUUCAGUCCAAACAGAGAAAUGAGGAGUUCUUGAUUAGACACAUCAUUAAAUGGAAGAGGAACCCACCAUAGGAAGAUAGGUAGUAGACUUUGAGAACUCAAUGUGUACCCUUAGGAUAGAAGACGUGAGAGGAGUUUGAUAGCUAGAAUGUGACGUUUCAGCAAGUCUUGGAGCAUGGCUGUCCAAGUGUGCUGUUUUUUCAGUUAUGUAAUGUUCACUUUGGUAAAUAAAAUUUACUUACCAAAAAAAAAGACUCCUUUUUUGGUUAUAACUAAUACAAAUCAUAGUUUGGAUUCAACUAAAUUUUGGUGUCCUUAAAUUUCCGUCAAUCAACCAUGAGUUUGAAUAUUUUCCAGCUCGAGAUAAUAUUAUAACAUCUAUUAGAUAAACAUCAAUACUCCUCUAUUUGCUAGCUAUAUUUUUGGAUGAUUGAAAUAAUAUUUUAUUUAACUGUAUAGAUCUAUUUAGUGUUUUGCUUGUGUAGUUGUGUAUCAUGUUUAAUUGAUUGUAUAUUUUUGUAAGAAAGAAAAUAAAAGAAAAAUCCACAUGAAUAUCUACUCUUUUAAUAGGACUCUUAGAGUCUUAGUUAUGAUGUAUCUUUGGAGAAGAAAAAACAAAAGAAUAUGUAAGUUCUCUCUAUCUCUACAUAUAUGAAGGGAAAAGAACAGUUAUAUCAUGAUAGCUUUCAAGAGAGGCAGCAAAAAAUCAUGCUUUUGUAAAAGGACCAAAAAUAGCACAAUUAACAGAUCGUCACAUGGAGUUGAAUCUAUCAAAAAUACAUAAAAACUCCAAUCGAAUUAAAGGAUAAUUGGAGGUCAUAUAUGGAAAACAAAGGAAGGAUCAAUUCACACGAGGCACUUCAGUUUACCUGAAAGUUAGCCACAAAGGUAAGCUAGUACGAGGUUGGAGGACCACAUUCUUGAGAUUUGAAGGUAAAAAAUGAAAAUGAGUAGCUACGGGAAAUGAGACAGAUGAAUCUACAUUUUACAAACGUGAGAAGGGAGAUACUCACCUUGUAGACGAAUCAAGAUACAUAGGAGGUAGGACUAAUAAGUUCAGAAAACUUGAUGCUGCCAUGGAUGAUACAGAGAAGUUGAAGAGUUACUUUUUUAAAUCCAAAGAGAAGAUAUAGAGGAUAGA
This 9501-nucleotide long non-coding RNA is filed under the name Solanum tuberosum (potato). RNAcentral's name for it is "long non-coding RNA (STUB_LNC004715)". Lineage: Eukaryota; Viridiplantae; Streptophyta; Magnoliopsida; Solanales; Solanaceae. The record is from RNAcentral.